GAUGUAGAACGAAUGGUUUUCUUUUCUCUCCACCUACACAGUACCUCUGCUUCGUGACCAAAAUGCUACAGAAUCGCCGGGGAGCGCUUCCCAGCCGCAACCACACACCCACUCCGUUCAAGAGCCUGGGGGAUCUGUGUUGGACCGUGGACAGCUUAAGGACCAGCGAGCGGGCUACACCCUGGGCCCCAAAUUCCAGGGCAGGGUGGACGGCUGGAGUGGCCACCUUUGUGGACACUGCUCCCAGGUUGCAGAGAGGCUGCAGGGCUCCCCGCCCUCCCCACAGUUUCAGGCUAUCUGGAGGCGAGAGCUAGGGAAGGGCCCUCUCUCUUCAGCCUGGACCCUGACAAGAGGCACAAAGAGAAUGUAAGGAAGCCCUGGAGGUGAAGGAGCCAUACAUCAAAUUCUUGUCCUGAUCACAGUGAAGGACGGUGCCGAUGAGCGAGAUGACAGCCCCCUGCGAGCCUGGCUUGUUAUGAAACACACCCUCAGAAUGCAAAUCUAAGAAACAACUCCUGUCGCGGGCAUGCACGUGGACUUAGGGUCGUCUUGGAGUCAGGAGCCAACCUAGCAUCACAGACUCUGUGAACCACAAAAGCCGUUGACGAUGAAGCUACGGAGGAGCAAACGGGGCGACUUGCCCAACGUUAGAGUUGGCAGAGGGCAGAGCCGGGGCGGCUCCGGGUUCCGCUGGGUGUUUACUGUCUCCGAUGCGGGCCUGCCCUCCCAUUCUGUGCUGGGGCCGGGCUCUGCAUACUCCAUUUCCCGAAUCCCCGGCCGGCUGGUUGGGCUCGGAGAAGAAGCAAUGGCCACCCAAACAGCCCCGUCCACCCGGGAGGACGAUGGGGCCUACGGAGAACAGGCUGCCAGUGGUCAGAGCGAGUGACAGCCAGGACGCGCCGCCUCAUCCUCAGCCGUGUGGCCCGUGGCAGCAGAUUUUUGGGUGGAGGAACAGCAUUUACUUUCCUUCCAGUAACUGGACUAUGGAAAUAGAGGAGUCUGAUGCAGAGUGUAAGUCAGUCUGAAGCACGAACCGCUGAGGAUCAGUGACUCCUCACAGAGGGGCGACAAGAACGGAGCAGAUGGGCCCGGGAGACCCGGGAGACCCGGGAGAAGAUCGCCACCAAAGACCAGUCUCCCCUGCUGGUCCCAGAGGCGCAGCCAGCUCCACCAGGCUCUGUGGGCCCGAGCGGCAGUGCAAGUGCCGAAUCAAUGACAAUUUCAUUCUGUUUUCAGAAAUAAACUCCAGUUAACAAAUUAGGGAAAACCUGCAUUUCACAAACGCCAACAGAUGUUACUAUCUUUACAGCAUUCUGACUAAAAAAACAAACAAGAAUGGGCCACUGUUUUUAUUUUAAAUGCAAACAUGGAUGUUGGUACAUGGUCACGAGGCAGCAUUUAACCUGAACAAACAGCAUACAAACGAGCAAAAGGCAUUUAUUUGUGUACGUCUGAGGCUACACAAUUAAACCUUUACUUGCUUUUAAAACUUCUAAAGGUCUGAUUUUGUAUUUUGAAUAUAUUAAUUAAAUCCCCAAGCUGACCCUACUAUUUAAAAUAACCUGCCUUGGAAGGAGAAAUUUUUUUAAAAAAGGACAGAGUUAACAAACAGGGUUG
Molecule: non-coding RNA, 1617 nt
Organism: Leptonychotes weddellii (Weddell seal)
Lineage: Eukaryota; Metazoa; Chordata; Mammalia; Carnivora; Phocidae
Source: RefSeq, a predicted model, not a curated record